RNAcentral lists this ribosomal RNA (597 nucleotides) under Triticum aestivum (bread wheat). Its description in RNAcentral is "partial small subunit ribosomal RNA". Lineage: Eukaryota; Viridiplantae; Streptophyta; Magnoliopsida; Poales; Poaceae. The record is from RNAcentral.
AUGAUUGUUGGCCUCAGGGGCAAUAAGUGGGUUGUUACCUACUUUGUUGCACAGCAUACACACCCUUUGAUGCAGCGUGAGGAGAUUGUGAGGUUCUACCGCUCACACCGCAAAAUUCCAGAAGAAGAUUACCAACUACUGAUGACAAUGCAUGAUGUAAACUUGUCAACUACAAAUUGCAUGGGAAUGCUUGGAAUGGUCCAUGGCGGAGACCAGAGGAAACUUCCAUAUGUGAAGAGGGAUGUUUCAAAUGCACGUUCCAAGCUGCGACAAAAUCAGUCAUUUCAGGACAUGGAUAUGACGGUUGCUUACUUUAAGAGGCGUCAAGCUGAGAAUGCUCAAUUCUACUAUGCAACAGAAGUUGACAAACAAACAAACGAAGUGACAGCUCUGUUUUGGGUGGAUGGAAGGACAAGAUCAUUGUACCCAAAGUACAAAGAUUGUGUGUUCUUUGACACAACAUUUUGCACAAAUCGGUACAAUCUGCCUUUCACUCCUAUUGUUGGUGUGAACAACCACUUGCAAACCGUGCUGCUAGGUUGUGCCUUGGUGCCAAAUGAACAAAUAGAAACUUUCAAGUGGGUGCUUCAACAUUAG